Molecule: long non-coding RNA, 2723 nt
Filed under: Homo sapiens (human)
Lineage: Eukaryota; Metazoa; Chordata; Mammalia; Primates; Hominidae
Description: HSALNT0003064
Source: RNAcentral
CAACCUUGUGAGCCUGGCAGCCCUUUCACUUUACAGUGGAGGAAACUGCAGGCAGGAGAGGAAGUGACUUAGCUAAGGUCGCUCAACAGACUCCUGAAUGCUGGGCUGGGAGCCAGGUCUCCCAAUUCCCCAGAUUAAGGCCUUUCCGAAGCUUGUAGCUAUGAUAUGGUUGCAAAGGCACUGGAUUUAAUGUCAGGAGAAACGAGUUGAAAUCCCAACUCAGCCCUUUACUUUCUGUGUGGCUUUGGGUGGUUGUGUAACUUCUUGAACCUCAGUUUCCUUGUGGCCAGGGGCCCUGUUGGAAGAUGAAAGAAGCCAGGAGAUGGGAAACACCUCUGUCAACUGUGGAGUGCCGUAUCCAGAUGAAAAAACCAAGGCUCAAAGAGAAGACACUUGCCUAAGUCUACUCAGUAAAGAUGUGAUGGACUCAAGACCUCAGUGCAGGGCCAUCUGAAUUAAAACCUGAUGAUAUGUAUGCAAUAUCGAGAUCUAACAGCCACGUAAGUAAUUGACGUCACAGUUUAAGUAUGUUACAGCUGGACCUACGUAUAUACAAAUUUAAGAGUAAUAUAAAAGAUUUAAUAUUGCAAAAUGUUCUUCAGCUGCCCUGUGCAGCUCUUGCAGACACCAUGCUCUUUUUUGAGCACCUCCAGAACCAGGACUUGGAACAUAACAAGAAAGUGAAAGCUUUUCUUACACUGCUCAGAGCCUCCCCGUGCCCCAAAGCAGCGUCCAUCUGCACUGUCAGCAGCCGCACAACCCACAGCCUUUGUGGCAUUUGGACGCAGUCAUCCUUUGUGUCAAGGACAUAGAGCAAGAAAAGAGGAGAAGCGAAUCCCUUCUCCCUCCUGGGGCCUGAGCAGUGUCAGUCACGAAAGCGGAUGUUGAGGGUUACAUUGGGUGUGCUGGGCCAAGUGACCAAGGAUCUGUGUAUCCUUUAAUAAAUUGUGUAUGUUUGUGAUCUGGGGGUCCCUGUGCUACUCAUGUGUGGUCUGGGCCUGUGGACUGUGGCUGGUGCAUGAACUACUCAGAAACCAAAAAUAAGUAUUUUAAAACGCUCACAGCAUUAUUGCUACAUCCAAGCUCAUGUUCAUUUUUCUAGUAGUUCAUUUUUAAGUAAUUAUUUUAUAAAAUGUUGGAAGACAGUGAGAACAUGUUUCUCUCAUUUCCUGAAGUUUUAUUACCAUUGCUUUAGGAUGCAUUGACUGUCAUUUCAAAAUAGCACAUUGUAUAUUGGCAUCACUAUCUUUGCAAGUUAUAAAACUAUCUUUUUGCAUUGUGGUGAAAAAAACACAUCACAUAAAAUUUACCAUCUUAGCAGUGUUUAAGUGUACAGUUCCAUAGUGCUAAGUCUAUUCAUGAUAUUAUGAAAUAGAUCUCUAAGACUUUUUCAUCUUUACAAAAAAAUGAAAACUCUGUACCCUUUAAACAACUCCUCUCUGCCCCUCCUCCCAGCCCCAGUAACUAUCAUUCUACUAUCUGUUUCUGUAAAUUGGACUUACUUCAGAUACCUCAUUAUGGAUUCUUUUUUUCUUUUUUUUUUUUUUUUUUUUGAGACGGAGUUUCACUCUUGUUGCCCAGGUUGGAGUACAGUGGCGCGAUCUCGGCUCACCGCAACCUCUGCCUCCCAGGUUCAAGUGAUUCUCCUGCCUCAGCCUCCCAAGUAGCUGGGAUUACAGGCAUGCGCCACCAUGCCCAGCUAAUUUUGUGGUUUUAGUAGAGACGGGGUUUCUCCAUGUUCAUCAGGCUGGUCUCGAACUCCCGACUUCAGGUGAUCUGCCCGUGUCAGCCUCCCAAAGUGUUGGGAUUACAGGUGUGAGCCACCUUGCCCGGCAAAUUCAUUUUUAUUGUCUCUUAUUAAACUAUCAGUCUGAAACAGAUUAGAGGUUUGAAAACCAAAAUGGUCCUUUGCCUUAGGUAGUUGAAGAAGCACUGCUCCCAAAAUGCAGGGCCUAGGACAGGUCUCCUCUUGCCCAGGUCUAAAGGCAUUUCUGCUUUACUUCCCUGAGCCUCAGUUUCCCCAGUGUAAAAAGGGGUGACUGAAUGGUGAUGCUCUGAAGGCCUCACAGCCGUGUCACCCGGGGAUGCUGUGGUCACUGAAUUCCCCGAGUUAGGACUGUCUGGCUGGGCAGCCAUCCUCUGUCCCCUCCCGUCGGGCCCUGCUCCAAGUCCCAUUUCACGCGCCGAGGACUCCUUUGUCUCCACUGACACCUGGUUUCCUGCCUCUGCAGUCACAGCGGGGCCUUCUCAUGGAUGACACAUGCAGGCUGCUUCUACUGCUUAUGUCCUGGCCAAAGGUUUAUGGCAUUACCCACUAAGUUCACAUUCCUCUCUGCUUGACCGUCACUCCUGUUUUCCAUGAGUCACACAGGGCUGAAAGAGAUGAGCUGAUGUUAAAGAGGAUGCAACCGAGCAGGGGCCCCACAUUGCAGAAUUUCAGAGCUGAAAGGGACUCAAUUCUAUUUUUUCUCUUAUUUCACAGUAACGCACAUUUACUGCUAAACAACCCCAAAAGAUAUCUCUUUUUCUCUCUCUCUCUCUCCUGCAAUUCAAGCACCUAAUGAUAACUACCUUUAUUUAUUUAUUUGUUGUUUGUUUGUUUUUUGAGACAGAGUCUCAUUCUGUUGCCCAGGCUGGAGUGCAGCGGUGCAGUCUCAGCUGACUGCUACCUCUGCCUCCUGGGUUCAAGUGAUUCUUGUGCCUCAGCCUCCUGAGUAGCUGGG